RNAcentral lists this ribosomal RNA (1383 nucleotides) under Microbacterium sp. B013-32. RNAcentral describes it as "bacterial SSU rRNA". It matches the Rfam family "Bacterial small subunit ribosomal RNA". The record is from RNAcentral. Lineage: Bacteria; Bacillati; Actinomycetota; Actinomycetes; Micrococcales; Microbacteriaceae.
UGCAAGUCGAACGGUGAAGCCCAGCUUGCUGGGUGGAUCAGUGGCGAACGGGUGAGUAACACGUGAGCAACCUGCCCCUGACUCUGGGAUAAGCGCUGGAAACGGCGUCUAAUACUGGAUAUGUGACGUGACCGCAUGGUCUGCGUUUGGAAAGAUUUUUCGGUUGGGGAUGGGCUCGCGGCCUAUCAGCUUGUUGGUGAGGUAAUGGCUCACCAAGGCGUCGACGGGUAGCCGGCCUGAGAGGGUGACCGGCCACACUGGGACUGAGACACGGCCCAGACUCCUACGGGAGGCAGCAGUGGGGAAUAUUGCACAAUGGGCGCAAGCCUGAUGCAGCAACGCCGCGUGAGGGAUGACGGCCUUCGGGUUGUAAACCUCUUUUAGCAGGGAAGAAGCGAAAGUGACGGUACCUGCAGAAAAAGCGCCGGCUAACUACGUGCCAGCAGCCGCGGUAAUACGUAGGGCGCAAGCGUUAUCCGGAAUUAUUGGGCGUAAAGAGCUCGUAGGCGGUUUGUCGCGUCUGCUGUGAAAUCCCGAGGCUCAACCUCGGGCCUGCAGUGGGUACGGGCAGACUAGAGUGCGGUAGGGGAGAUUGGAAUUCCUGGUGUAGCGGUGGAAUGCGCAGAUAUCAGGAGGAACACCGAUGGCGAAGGCAGAUCUCUGGGCCGUAACUGACGCUGAGGAGCGAAAGGGUGGGGAGCAAACAGGCUUAGAUACCCUGGUAGUCCACCCCGUAAACGUUGGGAACUAGUUGUGGGGUCCAUUCCACGGAUUCCGUGACGCAGCUAACGCAUUAAGUUCCCCGCCUGGGGAGUACGGCCGCAAGGCUAAAACUCAAAGGAAUUGACGGGGACCCGCACAAGCGGCGGAGCAUGCGGAUUAAUUCGAUGCAACGCGAAGAACCUUACCAAGGCUUGACAUAUACGAGAACGGGCCAGAAAUGGUCAACUCUUUGGACACUCGUAAACAGGUGGUGCAUGGUUGUCGUCAGCUCGUGUCGUGAGAUGUUGGGUUAAGUCCCGCAACGAGCGCAACCCUCGUUCUAUGUUGCCAGCACGUAAUGGUGGGAACUCAUGGGAUACUGCCGGGGUCAACUCGGAGGAAGGUGGGGAUGACGUCAAAUCAUCAUGCCCCUUAUGUCUUGGGCUUCACGCAUGCUACAAUGGUCGGUACAAAGGGCUGCAAUACCGUGAGGUGGAGCGAAUCCCAAAAAGCCGGUCCCAGUUCGGAUUGAGGUCUGCAACUCGACCUCAUGAAGUCGGAGUCGCUAGUAAUCGCAGAUCAGCAACGCUGCGGUGAAUACGUUCCCGGGUCUUGUACACACCGCCCGUCAAGUCAUGAAAGUCGGUAACACCUGAAGCCGGUGGCCUAACCUUUUUGGAG